AUGCGCUCCCUCCAUGUCUCCUCCUGCGCCUCCGGUGGCCAGACGCCUCUUCCACUCCGGCCGAGAUGUUUGAAGAAGGGGCUAGAGACAAACUGUCCAAUUUGUUGUGACUUCCUAUUCACAUCAAGCAAGGAAGUUAGAGCUGUUCUUUCUGGUCACUCCAUGCAUUCAACUUGCUUGCAGGCAUACACUUGCAGUCACUACACUUGUACUAUCUACGGCAAAUCCUUCGGGGAUAUGGCGAUAAAUGUUGGAUCAGCUGACCCUGUCAUUAUCUCAUUCCACCCCAACACCACGGUCAAACGGUCUGCAGCCACACCUGGUCACCAUCGAGUUUCAGGUAACCACGACAAGUCAACGAUCUUCCAUUGCCUUCCGCUCAAUUUUGUUUGGAUGGUGCGUGAUUCCUUUCAUCGAGUCUUCAAUAAACCAAAGAGUUACCAGAGUAGUUAA
This 453-nucleotide ribosomal RNA is filed under the name Triticum aestivum (bread wheat). Its description in RNAcentral is "partial small subunit ribosomal RNA". Lineage: Eukaryota; Viridiplantae; Streptophyta; Magnoliopsida; Poales; Poaceae. The record is from RNAcentral.